ACAGACACAUUGUGUGUUAAUAUUGUGCUUAACUGUUUACACAAUGACUGUGUUAAACACAUUUAAACAGUAUGUUGGAAUACAGUGCAUUUUUGGUCGUAGUCAAAUGGCACUGUGUUAUGUGUUUAUGUAGUUUAUUUAUCAUGAUGGUAAUAUAAAAUAAGCAAUUGUGAGAAUGUGGUUGAAAAUUCUGUAUUUCGGGAUUUAUGCUGUGGAAUUUCUACACGCGCAUGCGCAGUGACGUUCUUUUUCAACCGUCGCUCUCCCAGACCUCUGCCGGAUAAUGCACCUCUCUGCCUCAGAUGAUGGAAGUCGAGGAACAAAUUACAGUCCCUCUAACAGUUUUACACCGAGUUCUUGCAACUGUCUUCAUAGACGGAAAGGAAAUAUGGAGAAAACUAUCCUCAGUCAAACCUGAACUGUCUCGACUAUCUCUUGAUUGAAUAUUGAAAUUUGACACAGAUUUUCAAGAGUUCAUUGACACUGAUGUAAAUGCAGGAGUACAGGAGCUUGACAAAUUUCAAAUAAAUUAUAUUGCAAGCAACAUCCCCGACUCAUUAGAAAGUGUGCACUCAUUACAGUGUCCUUUAACAGAUUCAACUCAGACUGGCACCACAACUAGUUUGCUGACGCUGCUUGAAGAAAAAGCCUCUACAAUCCUGAGAGAACAUGAAGAGACAAAGACGCUGUCCAUUUUCUCAUGAAAGAUUCUUGUUAAAGUUGCUGUCAGUGACCU
Long non-coding RNA from Danio aesculapii, 736 nucleotides. RefSeq lists it as uncharacterized. Lineage: Eukaryota; Metazoa; Chordata; Actinopteri; Cypriniformes; Danionidae. The record is from RefSeq and is a predicted model, not a curated record. The transcript has 3 exons.